RNAcentral lists this ribosomal RNA (436 nucleotides) under uncultured bacterium. Its description in RNAcentral is "bacterial SSU rRNA". It matches the Rfam family "Bacterial small subunit ribosomal RNA", at positions 29 to 509 of the family's 1533-position model. The record is from RNAcentral.
AGCGAACGCUGGCGGCAGGCUUAACACAUGCAAGUCGAACGGGCGUAGCAAUACGUCAGCGGCAGACGGGUGAGUAACGCGUGGGAACAUACCUUUUGGUUCGGAACAACACAGGGAAACUUGUGCUAAUACCGGAUAAGCCCUUACGGGGAAAGAUUUAUCGCCGAAAGAUUGGCCCGCGUCUGAUUAGCUAGUUAGUGAGGUAACGGCUCACCAAGGCGACGAUCAGUAGCUGGCUGAGAGGAUGAUCAGCCACAUUGGGACUGAGACACGGCCCAAACUCCUACGGGAGGCAGCAGUGGGGAAUAUUGGACAAUGGGCGAAAGCCUGAUCCAGCCAUGCCGCGUGAGUGAUGAAGGCCCUAGGGUUGUAAAGCUCUUUUGUGCGGGAAGAUAAUGACGGUACCGCAAGAAUAAGCCCCGGCUAACUUCGUGCC